AACGAACGCUGGCGGCAUGCCUAACACAUGCAAGUCGAACGAGACCUUCGGGUCUAGUGGCGCACGGGUGCGUAACGCGUGGGAACCUGCCCUUAGGUUCGGAAUAACUCCCCGAAAGGGGUGCUAAUACCGGAUAAUGUCUUCGGACCAAAGAUUUAUCGCCUUUGGAUGGGCCCGCGUUGGAUUAGCUAGUUGGUAGGGUAAAAGCCUACCAAGGCGACGAUCCAUAGCUGGUCUGAGAGGAUGAUCAGCCACACUGGGACUGAGACACGGCCCAGACUCCUACGGGAGGGAGCAGUGGGGAAUAUUGGAAAAUGGGCGAAAGGAUGAUCCAGCAAUGCCGCGUGAGUGAUGAAGGCCUUAGGGUUGUAAAGCUCUUUUACCCGGGAUGAUAAUGACAGUACCGGGAGAAUAAGCUCCGGCUAACUCCGUG
Molecule: ribosomal RNA, 433 nt
Filed under: uncultured bacterium
Lineage: Bacteria
Description: partial 16S ribosomal RNA
Rfam family: Bacterial small subunit ribosomal RNA
Source: RNAcentral